This 296-nucleotide unclassified non-coding RNA is filed under the name uncultured Conocybe. RNAcentral describes it as "sequence contains ITS2". The stretch from base 1 to 52 matches the Rfam family "5.8S ribosomal RNA", at positions 103 to 154 of the family's 154-position model. The record is from RNAcentral. Lineage: Eukaryota; Fungi; Basidiomycota; Agaricomycetes; Agaricales; Bolbitiaceae.
AACGCACCUUGCGCUCCUUGGUAUUCCGAGGAGCAUGCCUGUUUGAGUGUCAUUAAAUUCUCAAUCUCUACAACUUUGUGUUGUCUAGAUCGGAAGUGGGGGUUUGUUGUGUGGAAUCUAAUUCCUCACUCCCCUUAAAUGCAUUAGCUGGAAUGCCUCUGCAUAUCUGACUAUCAGUGUGAUAAUUAUCUAUGCUGUAGUUGUUGCAUGAGGGUAUCUGCUUCAUAAAUCGUCGCAAGACAAUUCUAUAUGACCAUCUUGACCUCAAAUCAGGUAGGACUACCCGCUGAACUUAA